AGUAAAAAUACGAUUUUCUUUUAAGGAGAGAAAAGAGUGAAAUAGAGAAAAGGAAGAGAUAGAGAGAAAAAGGAGAAAACAUGAAGAAAUUCACUACAACACUUUUUACUUUAGGCAACGAAAUAAUAGGCAAUGGUUGAAAAACCGUAACUUAAAAGGUAAUAGACCGCGAUUUUUUAGCCGUUGACAAGUUUUUAAAUUUUUGGUUAAAACU
Molecule: long non-coding RNA, 214 nt
Filed under: Lathyrus oleraceus (garden pea)
Lineage: Eukaryota; Viridiplantae; Streptophyta; Magnoliopsida; Fabales; Fabaceae
Description: Pisum sativum (pea) long non-coding RNA (PSAT_LNC017084)
Source: RNAcentral